GUGGAGAUCUGGGUAAAGAAUCCUGCCAAGGGAGAACCAGACUAUUGGCCAGAACCAAUGUGGAGGCCCCCCUGGGGCUCAAGGGACCAGGAAUGCUGAGCAAGCAGCCUUCUCCUGGGAUUCUCCACUUCCUCGUGACUAUCUUGAUUUCUGCGCAUUCAAGGAGAAGGCAUUGGGAG
Molecule: long non-coding RNA, 179 nt
Organism: Eptesicus fuscus (big brown bat)
Lineage: Eukaryota; Metazoa; Chordata; Mammalia; Chiroptera; Vespertilionidae
Exons: 3
Source: RefSeq, a predicted model, not a curated record